GACGCCUCACAUUUAGGUUGGGGCCUAUCCUUAGUAAGCCUGCCCUUAUUGCCAACCAACCCAAGGAUGAAACUCACUCUUGAAAUGUUGUGGACAUACCAGACCAGUCCAGCCUAUGGUGGCUUUUAAUAAGUUUAGGCCAAUUAGGUUAAUAGUUUACUAUUCUUCUUGGGCCCCUUUGGCCAGGUGACAAAUGUUUAGCUUCUCGG
This 209-nucleotide long non-coding RNA is filed under the name Prunus persica (peach). RNAcentral describes it as "long non-coding RNA (PPER_LNC006562)". Lineage: Eukaryota; Viridiplantae; Streptophyta; Magnoliopsida; Rosales; Rosaceae. The record is from RNAcentral.